AGAGUUUGAUCCUGGCUCAGGACGAACGCUGGCGGCGUGCCUAAUACAUGCAAGUCGAACGAAACUUUCUUACACCGAAUGCUUGCAUUCACCGUAAGAAGUUGAGUGGCGGACGGGUGAGUAACACGUGGGUAACCUGCCUAAAAGAAGGGGAUAACACUUGGAAACAGGUGCUAAUACCGUAUAUCUCUAAGGAUCGCAUGAUACUUAGAUGAAAGAUGGUUCUGCUAUCGCUUUUAGAUGGACCCGCGGCGUAUUAACUAGUUGGUGGGGUAACGGCCUACCAAGGUGAUGAUACGUAGCCGAACUGAGAGGUUGAUCGGCCACAUUGGGACUGAGACACGGCCCAAACUCCUACGGGAGGCAGCAGUAGGGAAUCUUCCACAAUGGACGCAAGUCUGAUGGAGCAACGCCGCGUGAGUGAAGAAGGUCUUCGGAUCGUAAAACUCUGUUGUUAGAGAAGAACACGAGUGAGAGUAACUGUUCAUUCGAUGACGGUAUCUAACCAGCAAGUCACGGCUAACUACGUGCCAGCAGCCGCGGUAAUACGUAGGUGGCAAGCGUUGUCCGGAUUUAUUGGGCGUAAAGGGAACGCAGGCGGUCUUUUAAGUCUGAUGUGAAAGCCUUCGGCUUAACCGGAGUAGUGCAUUGGAAACUGGAAGACUUGAGUGCAGAAGAGGAGAGUGGAACUCCAUGUGUAGCGGUGAAAUGCGUAGAUAUAUGGAAGAACACCAGUGGCGAAAGCGGCUCUCUGGUCUGUAACUGACGCUGAGGUUCGAAAGCGUGGGUAGCAAACAGGAUUAGAUACCCUGGUAGUCCACGCCGUAAACGAUGAAUGCUAGGUGUUGGAGGGUUUCCGCCCUUCAGUGCCGCAGCUAACGCAAUAAGCAUUCCGCCUGGGGAGUACGACCGCAAGGUUGAAACUCAAAGGAAUUGACGGGGGCCCGCACAAGCGGUGGAGCAUGUGGUUUAAUUCGAAGCAACGCGAAGAACCUUACCAGGUCUUGACAUCCUUUGACCACCUAAGAGAUUAGGCUUUCCCUUCGGGGACAAAGUGACAGGUGGUGCAUGGCUGUCGUCAGCUCGUGUCGUGAGAUGUUGGGUUAAGUCCCGCAACGAGCGCAACCCUUGUUGUCAGUUGCCAGCAUUAAGUUGGGCACUCUGGCGAGACUGCCGGUGACAAACCGGAGGAAGGUGGGGACGACGUCAAGUCAUCAUGCCCCUUAUGACCUGGGCUACACACGUGCUACAAUGGACGGUACAACGAGUCGCGAGACCGCGAGGUUUAGCUAAUCUCUUAAAGCCGUUCUCAGUUCGGAUUGUAGGCUGCAACUCGCCUACAUGAAGUCGGAAUCGCUAGUAAUCGCGAAUCAGCAUGUCGCGGUGAAUACGUUCCCGGGCCUUGUACACACCGCCCGUCACACCAUGAGAGUUUGUAACACCCAAAGCCGGUGGGGUAACCGCAAGGAGCCAGCCGUCUAAGGUGGGACAGAUGAUUGGGGUGAAGUCGUAACAAGGUAGCCGUAGGAGAACCUGCGGCUG
RNAcentral lists this ribosomal RNA (1542 nucleotides) under Ligilactobacillus salivarius. Its description in RNAcentral is "bacterial SSU rRNA". It matches the Rfam family "Bacterial small subunit ribosomal RNA". Lineage: Bacteria; Bacillati; Bacillota; Bacilli; Lactobacillales; Lactobacillaceae. The record is from RNAcentral.